UAGGGAAUAUUAGUAAUGGGCGAAAGCCUGAACUAGCAACACCGCGUGUGCGAAGAAGGCCUUCGGGUUGUAAAGCACUUUUUGAGAGGAUGAGGAAGGACGGUACUCUCAGAAUAAGUCUCGGCUAACUACGUGCCAGCAGCCGCGGUAACACGUAGGAGGCAAACGUUAUCCGGAUUUACUGGGCGUAAAGCGCGUGUAGGUGGUUUGGUAAGUAGAGCGUGAAAGCUCCUGGCUCAACUGGGAGAGGUCGUUCAAAACUACAAGACUUGAGAUUGGUAGAGGAAAAUGGAAUUCCGGGUGUAGUGGUGAAAUGCGUAGAUAUCCGGAGGAACACCAGUGGCGAAAGCGGUUUUCUGGACCAAUUCUGACACUCAGAUGCGAAAGCUAAGGUAGCAAACG
Molecule: ribosomal RNA, 402 nt
Filed under: uncultured prokaryote
Description: bacterial SSU rRNA
Rfam family: Bacterial small subunit ribosomal RNA
Source: RNAcentral